UCCUGUUACUCAAGAAGGCAGGUCCUGGGUAGAUCCCAGGGAGGUGAGUUGGUGGGGGAUAAAGAGCUCCUGUGUGGCCAGCAGCUGGCUGCAGUUCCCCAGGAAACAGCUUCCGGCAGACACUCAAUCUCCAGUUGUAACAGGUGGUGUGGAGUCCGCUGUCCCAGGGAGUGGGCUCAAGGCCUAGUCCUGCCAAUGAACUUGCUGUAGAAACUUUUCUGUCUAUCAAAUGAGGUUGGAAUGCACUGGUGCAAUAAUUGCUCACUGCAGCCAUGACCUCCCAUGCUCAAGCAAUCCUCCCACCUCAGCCUCCCACGUAGCUGGGACUACAGCUUCUCCAUUUCCACCUUUGCAAACUCUGGACUCCAAGGACGCAAGAUGGCCGGAAACAAGAUGGUGGAGCAUGUAUUGGAAACUUAAUCCGCAAUUCAAAUGUGCUGGGGAGUGGAGCCUAAUGGAGCCCUCAUGAGAAUGGAUUAAUGCCAGUUGUGAAAGGGCUUGCGGCUGCGAGUUCAAUCUCUUGUUCACCCUCACCUUCUCUUACGUUUUCACCUUCCACCAUGAAUGAUGCAGCAUGAAGGCCCUUGCCAGAUGACAGCACUAUGCCCUUGGACUCCCCAGCCUCCAUAACCAUGGGCCAAAUAAACUUCUAUUGUUUUAAAUUGC
This 666-nucleotide long non-coding RNA is filed under the name Homo sapiens (human). RNAcentral describes it as "HSALNT0401573". The record is from RNAcentral. Lineage: Eukaryota; Metazoa; Chordata; Mammalia; Primates; Hominidae.